GCCUGACUGGCUCAGUUGGUAGAGCAUGGGACUCUUGAUCUCAGGGUCAUGAGUUCAAGCCCCAUGUUGGGUG
This 73-nucleotide transfer RNA is filed under the name Ailuropoda melanoleuca (giant panda). It matches the Rfam family "tRNA". Rfam says of the family: Transfer RNA (tRNA) molecules are approximately 80 nucleotides in length. Their secondary structure includes four short double-helical elements and three loops (D, anti-codon, and T loops). Lineage: Eukaryota; Metazoa; Chordata; Mammalia; Carnivora; Ursidae. RNAcentral also lists the same sequence under 1 other name. The record is from Rfam by way of RNAcentral.